This 672-nucleotide ribosomal RNA is filed under the name Maudiozyma exigua. RNAcentral describes it as "LSU rRNA". It matches the Rfam family "Eukaryotic large subunit ribosomal RNA", at positions 1 to 664 of the family's 3401-position model. The record is from RNAcentral. Lineage: Eukaryota; Fungi; Ascomycota; Saccharomycetes; Saccharomycetales; Saccharomycetaceae.
CGUGGCAAACAGUACUCUUUAAGUUUGACCUCAAAUCAGGUAGGAAUACCCGCUGAACUUAAGCAUAUCAAUAAGCGGAGGAAAAGAAACCAACCGGGAUUGCCUUAGUAACGGCGAGUGAAGCGGCAAAAGCUCAAAUUUGAAAUCUGGUACCUUCGGUGCCCGAGUUGUAAUUUGUAGAGGGCGACUUUGGGGCGGCUCCUUGUCUAUGUUCCUUGGAACAGGACGUCAUAGAGGGUGAGAAUCCCGUGUGGCGAGGAGUGCGGUUCCGUGUAAAGCGCUCUCGAAGAGUCGAGUUGUUUGGGAAUGCAGCUCUAAGUGGGUGGUAAAUUCCAUCUAAAGCUAAAUAUUGGCGAGAGACCGAUAGCGAACAAGUACAGUGAUGGAAAGAUGAAAAGAACUUUGAAAAGAGAGUGAAAAAGUACGUGAAAUUGUUGAAAGGGAAGGGCAUUUGAUCAGACAUGGUGUUUUGUGCCCCUCGCUCCUUGUGGGUGGGGGAAUCUCGCAGCUCACUGGGCCAGCAUCAGUUUUGGCGGUCGGAUAAAACUAGAGGAACGUAGCUUGCUUCGGGAAGUAUUAUAGCCUCUGGUAAUACGGCCAGCCGGGACUGAGGAACGCGAUUCGUCAAGGAUGCUGGCAUAAUGGUUAUAUGCCGCCCGUCUUGAAACACGG